This 677-nucleotide ribosomal RNA is filed under the name uncultured Bacilli bacterium. RNAcentral's name for it is "bacterial SSU rRNA". It matches the Rfam family "Bacterial small subunit ribosomal RNA", at positions 86 to 749 of the family's 1533-position model. Lineage: Bacteria; Bacillati; Bacillota; Bacilli. The record is from RNAcentral.
AAAAGAGGAGUGGCGAACGGGUGAGUAACACGUGGGUAACCUGCCCAUCAGAAGGGGAUAACACUUGGAAACAGGUGCUAAUACCGUAUAACAAUCGAAACCGCAUGGUUUUGAUUUGAAAGGCGCUUUCGGGUGUCGCUGAUGGAUGGACCCGCGGUGCAUUAGCUAGUUGGUGAGGUAACGGCUCACCAAGGCCACGAUGCAUAGCCGACCUGAGAGGGUGAUCGGCCACAUUGGGACUGAGACACGGCCCAAACUCCUACGGGAGGCAGCAGUAGGGAAUCUUCGGCAAUGGACGAAAGUCUGACCGAGCAACGCCGCGUGAGUGAAGAAGGUUUUCGGAUCGUAAAACUCUGUUGUUAGAGAAGAACAAGGAUGAGAGUAACUGUUCAUCCCUUGACGGUAUCUAACCAGAAAGCCACGGCUAACUACGUGCCAGCAGCCGCGGUAAUACGUAGGUGGCAGGCGUUGUCCGGAUUUAUUGGGCGUAAAGCGAGCGCAGGCGGUUUCUUAAGUCUGAUGUGAAAGCCCCCGGCUCAACCGGGGAGGGUCAUUGGAAACUGGGAGACUUGAGUGCAGAAGAGGAGAGUGGAAUUCCAUGUGUAGCGGUGAAAUGCGUAGAUAUAUGGAGGAACACCAGUGGCGAAGGCGGCUCUCUGGUCUGUAACUGACGCUGA